ACUCAAAUGAAUUGACGGGGGCCCGCACAAGCAGUGGAGUAUGUGGUUUAAUUCGAAGCAACGCGAAGAACCUUACCAGGGCUUGACAUCCCUCGAAUUAGGUAGAAAUACCUAAGUCCUUCGGGACGAGGAGACAGGUGGUGCAUGGUUGUCGUCAGCUCGUGUCGUGAGAUGUUGGGUUAAGUCCCGCAACGAGCGCAACCCCUGUUGUUAGUUGCCAGCAAGUAAAGUUGGGCACUCUAGCGAGACUGCCGGUGAUAAAUCGGAGGAAGGUGGGGACGACGUCAAAUCAUCAUGCCCCUUAUGUCCUGGGCUACACACGUACUACAAUGGUUACAACAACGGGAAGCUAAGCCGCAAGGUGGAGCAAAUCCCCAAAAGUAACCUCAGUUCGGAUUGUGGGCUGAAACUCGCCCACAUGAAGUCGGAAUUGCUAGUAAUGGCAGGUCAGCAUACUGCCGUGAAUACGUUCCCGGGCCUUGUACACACCGCCCGU
Molecule: ribosomal RNA, 496 nt
Filed under: uncultured bacterium
Lineage: Bacteria
Description: bacterial SSU rRNA
Rfam family: Bacterial small subunit ribosomal RNA
Source: RNAcentral